Molecule: RNase P RNA, 304 nt
Filed under: Sulfuriferula sp. AH1
Lineage: Bacteria; Pseudomonadati; Pseudomonadota; Betaproteobacteria; Nitrosomonadales; Sulfuricellaceae
Description: Bacterial RNase P class A
Rfam family: Bacterial RNase P class A
About the family: Ribonuclease P (RNase P) is a ubiquitous endoribonuclease, found in archaea, bacteria and eukarya as well as chloroplasts and mitochondria. Its best characterised activity is the generation of mature 5'-ends of tRNAs by cleaving the 5'-leader elements of precursor-tRNAs.
Source: Rfam by way of RNAcentral
GAAGCUGAUCAGGCAAUCGCUGCCUUGAGUAAUCAGGGGAGAGGAAAGUCCGGGCUCCAUAGAGCAGGAUGCCGGUUAACGGCCGGCCGCCGUGAGGCGAGGAACAGGGCCACAGAGACGAGUAUGCCGGCUUUCGGGCCGGCGGAUGUGAAACGCGGUAACCUCCAUCCGGAGCAAGGCCAAAUAGGCAGACGAUGAAGCGGCUCGCUGAGUCUGCGGGUAGGCUGCUUGAGCGUCUGGGCAACCAGGCGCCUAGAGGAAUGAUUGCCCACGACAAAACCCGGCUUAUCGAUCAGCUUCACCC